This 433-nucleotide ribosomal RNA is filed under the name uncultured bacterium. RNAcentral's name for it is "bacterial SSU rRNA". It matches the Rfam family "Bacterial small subunit ribosomal RNA", at positions 64 to 524 of the family's 1533-position model. The record is from RNAcentral.
GAGCGAUCUUCUUCGGAAUAGAGCGGCGGACGGGUGAGUAACGCGUGGGUAACCUGCCCUGUACACACGGAUAACAUACCGAAAGGUAUGCUAAUACGGGAUAAUAUAUGAAAGUCACAUGACUUUUAUAUCAAAGCUUUUGCGGUACAGGAUGGACCCGCGUCUGAUUAGCUAGUUGGUAAGGUAAUGGCUUACCAAGGCGACGAUCAGUAGCCGACCUGAGAGGGUGAUCGGCCACACUGGAACUGAGACACGGUCCAUACUCCUACGGGAGGCAGCAGUGGGGAAUAUUGCACAAUGGGCGAAAGCCUGAUGCAGCAACGCCGCGUGAGCGAUGAAGGCCUUCGGGUCGUAAAGCUCUGUCCUCAAGGAAGAUAAUGACGGUACUUGAGGAGGAAGCCCCGGCUAACUACGUGCCAGCAGCCGCGGUAAU